GUUGCAGUUAAAAAGCUCGUAGUUGGAUUUCGGAGUGGGCCAGUUGGUCCGCCGCAAGGUGUGUUACUGACUGGUUUGCUCUUCUUCGCAAAGACUGCGUGUGCUCUUGAGUGAGUGUGCGUAGGAUUUACGACGUUUACUUUGAAAAAAUUAGAGUGUUCAAAGCAGGCUAUUGCUUGAAUACAUGAGCAUGGAAUAAUGGAAUAGGACUUUGGUCCCAUUUUGUUGGUUUCUAGGGCCGAAGUAAUGAUUAAGAGGGACAAUUGGGGGCAUCCGUAUUUCGUUGUCAGAGGUGAAAUUCUUGGAUUUACGAAAGACGAACAACUGCGAAAGCACUUGCCAAGAGUGUUUUCAUUAAUCAAGAACGAAAGUUAGAGGAUCGAAGACGAUCAGAUACCGUCCUAGUUCUAGCCAUAAACGAUGUCGACUAGGGAUCAGCGGGCGUUAUCGUACGACCCCGUUGGCACCUUACGGGAAACCAAAGUUUUUGGAUUCCGGGGGAAGUAUGGUUGCAAAGCUGAAACUUAAAGGAAUUGACGGAAGGGCACCACCAGGAGUGGAGCCUGUGGCUCAAUUUGACUCAACACGGGAAAACUUACCAGGUCCAGACAUAGUAAGGAUUGAC
RNAcentral lists this ribosomal RNA (625 nucleotides) under uncultured marine eukaryote. RNAcentral describes it as "SSU rRNA". It matches the Rfam family "Eukaryotic small subunit ribosomal RNA", at positions 612 to 1244 of the family's 1831-position model. The record is from RNAcentral.